Molecule: ribosomal RNA, 506 nt
Filed under: uncultured bacterium
Lineage: Bacteria
Description: partial 16S ribosomal RNA
Rfam family: Bacterial small subunit ribosomal RNA
Source: RNAcentral
AGUGAACGCUGGCGGUAGGCCUAACACAUGCAAGUCGAACGGCAGCACAGAGGAGCUUGCUCCUUGGGUGGCGAGUGGCGGACGGGUGAGGAAUACAUCGGAAUCUACUCUGUCGUGGGGGAUAACGUAGGGAAACUUACGCUAAUACCGCAUACGACCUACGGGUGAGAGCAGGGGAUCUUCGGACCCUGCGCGAUUGAAUGAGCCGAUGUCGGAUUAGCUAGUUGGCGGGGUAAAGGCCCACCAAGGCGACGAUCCGUAGCUGGUCUGAGGGGAUGAUCAGCCACACUGGAACUGAGACACGGUCCAGACUCCUACGGGAGGCAGCAGUGGGGAAUAUUGGACAAUGGGCGCAAGCCUGAUCCAGCCAUACCGCGUGGGUGAAGAAGGCCUUCGGGUUGUAAAGCCCUUUUGUUGGGAAAGAAAUCCAUCUGGUUAAUACCCGGGUGGGAUGACGGUACCCAAAGAAUAAGCACCGGCUAACUUCGUGCCAGCAGCCGCCGUAA